This is a long non-coding RNA of Paramacrobiotus metropolitanus, 608 nucleotides long. RefSeq lists it as uncharacterized. The record is from RefSeq and is a predicted model, not a curated record. The transcript has 2 exons. NCBI's taxonomy places the organism in Eukaryota, Metazoa, Tardigrada, Eutardigrada, Parachela, Macrobiotidae.
UGUAUUAUGCCCUUUGUCGUGGGAAUUAAACGUUUCCCUGGUUAUUUUUUUACAGCCACCUCUUGCCCGCUAGUUUAUCUUCCGGUAUGUGGGGAUAAUGGACGGACGUAUUCUAACGCCUGUUUUGCGAGGGCUGCCCGUGUCAUCGUCGCAUCUAAAGGAGAAUGUGGCGAAAACUUACGUUUGGAGGGACAUGCCAUCCCUGUCAUCAAACAGAAAUCCAGUUAAUGCUCGGAAAUCGGAGUAUGAGCCUGUCAGGGUGGGUAGCUCCACCCUCCUCACUAGCUAUUCGCUGCUUCUGUUUCUGGUGUUUUACACGCUUUUCCGGGUCUACAGCACAGCUGCGCUGGCUACAGAAUCCGCUCUUGUCAGUUGGUUGGUUUUUGGUUUAGCGCCGUAUCUCCAUUCUCCAUUAAAUGUCGAUACUUCCGGGUUGUCUUGCGUCGUGAGCUGUGGCAGCAGCCACCUUAUAAGCCUUGUACUGGAUUUUGUCUAACAUAUUCAGCGCGAUUGUUUUCUUUUGGUUCCUGUACUCGAUCCGAUAGGAUGGUAGCGCACUGCGGUAAAGCCUUGAGAAGAAAUAAAUAUUAAGAAUGAUGUGCCGUUCA